Molecule: ribosomal RNA, 200 nt
Filed under: uncultured eukaryote
Lineage: Eukaryota
Description: partial 18S ribosomal RNA
Rfam family: Eukaryotic small subunit ribosomal RNA
Source: RNAcentral
GCUCCAAUAGCGUAUAUUAAAGUUGUUGCAGUUAAAAAGCUCGUAGUUGAACUUCGGACUCGGUGGUCAAGUCUUCCUUUAUUGGUCGUACUUGAUUCGCCUUGUCUUAUCUUCUAGAGAACUUGCAUGUCCUUAACUGGGCGUGUAAUUUUUUUCUAGGACUUUACUGUGAAUAAUUAGAGUGUUCAAAGCAGGCAAUC